This 372-nucleotide ribosomal RNA is filed under the name uncultured organism. Its description in RNAcentral is "bacterial SSU rRNA". It matches the Rfam family "Bacterial small subunit ribosomal RNA", at positions 526 to 896 of the family's 1533-position model. The record is from RNAcentral.
CGUAGGGUGCGAGCGUUAAUCGGAAUUACUGGGCGUAAAGCGCGUGUAGGCGGCUCCUUAAGUCUGAUGUGAAAGCCCCGGGCUCAACCUGGGAAGUGCAUUGGAAACUGGGGAACUUGAAUACGGGAGAGGGUAGUGGAAUUCCUGGUGUAGGAGUGAAAUCCGUAGAUAUCAGGAGGAACACCGGUGGCGAAGGCGGCUACCUGGACCGAUAUUGACGCUGAGACGCGAAAGCGUGGGGAGCAAACAGGAUUAGAUACCCUGGUAGUCCACGCCGUAAACGAUGAGUACUAGGUGUUGCGGGUAUUGACCCCUGCAGUGCCGCAGCUAACGCAUUAAGUACUCCGCCUGGGAAGUACGGUCGCAAGACUA